RNAcentral lists this ribosomal RNA (465 nucleotides) under uncultured bacterium. RNAcentral's name for it is "partial 16S ribosomal RNA". It matches the Rfam family "Bacterial small subunit ribosomal RNA", at positions 330 to 792 of the family's 1533-position model. The record is from RNAcentral.
CCCAGACUCCUACGGGAGGCAGCAGUGAGGAAUAUUGGUCAAUGGGCGCGAGUCUGAACCAGCCAAGUCGCGUGAGGGAGGACGGCCCUACGGGUUGUAAACCUCUUUUGCCGGGGAGCAACGGGCGUCACGUGUGGCGCCACUGAGAGUACCCGGAGAAAAAGCAUCGGCUAACUCCGUGCCAGCAGCCGCGGUAAUACGGAGGAUGCGAGCGUUAUCCGGAUUUAUUGGGUUUAAAGGGUGCGCAGGCGGAUUUUUAAGUCAGCGGUCAAUUCGUGGGGCUAAACCCCAUCCAGCCGUUGAAACUGGGGAUCUAGAGUGUGCGAGAGGUAUGCGGAAUGCGUGGUGUAGCGGCGAAAUGCAUAGAUAUCACGCAGAACUCCGAUUGCGAAGGCAGCGUACCGGCGCCCAACUGACGCUGAAGCACGAAGGCGUGGGUAUCGAACAGGAUUAGAUACCCUAGUA